GGGUGGUAAUGCCGGAUGCUCCGGUUGGAUGCAUGUCCUUCCGGGAAAGAUCCAUCGGUAUGGGAUGGGGUCGCGUCCUAUCAGCUUGAUGGCGGGGUAACGGCCCACCAUGGCUUCGACGGGUAGCCGGCCUGAGAGGGCGACCGGCCACAUUGGGACUGAGAUACGGCCCAGACUCCUACGGGAGGCAGCAGUGGGGAAUAUUGCACAAUGGGCGCAAGCCUGAUGCAGCGACGCCGCGUGCGGGAUGGAGGCCUUCGGGUUGUAAACCGCUUUUGAUCGGGAGCAAGCCCUUCGGGGUGAGUGUACCUUUCGAAUAAGCACCGGCUAACUACGUGCCAGCAGCCGCGGUAAUACGUAGGGUGCAAGCGUUAUCCGGAAUUAUUGGGCGUAAAGGGCUCGUAGGCGGUUCGUCGCGUCCGGUGUGAAAGCCCAUCGCUUAACGGUGGGUCUGCGCCGGGUACGGGCGGGCUGGAGUGCGGUAGGGGAGACUGGAAUUCCCGGUGUAACGGUGGAAUGUGUAGAUAUCGGAAA
RNAcentral lists this ribosomal RNA (534 nucleotides) under Bifidobacterium dentium. RNAcentral's name for it is "bacterial SSU rRNA". It matches the Rfam family "Bacterial small subunit ribosomal RNA", at positions 158 to 703 of the family's 1533-position model. The record is from RNAcentral. Lineage: Bacteria; Bacillati; Actinomycetota; Actinomycetes; Bifidobacteriales; Bifidobacteriaceae.